RNAcentral lists this unclassified non-coding RNA (200 nucleotides) under Hevea brasiliensis (rubber tree). Lineage: Eukaryota; Viridiplantae; Streptophyta; Magnoliopsida; Malpighiales; Euphorbiaceae. The record is from RNAcentral.
CGUCAAGCUUCUAGAUGGCAAAACAGCAAUCCUUAGAUUCACAGCCCCGCAAAUUGAAGGGCUUGCCAUCAAGCAACGGAUCUUCGAGAUCACCAAAAUACCCACUUGCUCGCAGCGCCUUAUCUACAGCGGGACACAACUCCGUGACCGUUCCGUAAUCUCCAGUCCUGAAUGCACUGUCCACCUCUUGCUCCGCCUCC